GGGGCAGGUAGGGCGGCGGGGCUUUGGCUUUGGCAGCAACCUGACAAUCACAGGACCUCAAUCUUGGUAAAUGCAGUCAGCAGAGAACCAGGGCUGGUUUCAGUGUGUUGAGUCCAGUAGGCUACCAGGAGGUUAAAAAUGUCUGAGGCAUAUGUUUGACCACCAUUAACAAACCUAAAACAACAAAACCCUUUAGAGACACAAGAGAAAGGAACAAUGUCACCAGUGACGUUCUCCACUUCCCAAACACUCCUGGUUUAGAAGAGCUGGGAGAAAUGCAGUCUAUUUUAGGGGCUUUAUCAGUGACAUUAAAAAAAAAAACAGUAAUACGUUUGAUAUUUCACUUCAAUUAUUCAUCUAAGGAGCCCCUGGGUAGGGACAGAUAUGGAACCAUUGGUUGCACAGUAGCCCAGAAGACAGUGUGAGAUGCGGGGCCCUGGGAGCUGGGAAUUCCUUCUUCCUCGUUCUGACCCCACAACUGCUGCCAGAAAGGUUUAUGAGCCCUCAUCAUUUAUUAUGUGAGUUUUCUAUAUUUGGAAACACUUUGGGGGAAAAUUUUCCACACUUAGAAACUCAUUACCCGAGUCUCCAGUACAUCCAUUUUUCCACGCCCUUCUUUACACAUGGAAAGGUUUAUCAUUAAGAAUGUUCAUCUUAAAUGCAGUUGAAACAGAGACACAGAGAUGACCCCGCUCCCCAGAGGUUCUGCUCGCUAGCAAGUGGCACACUCCGCCCCUCCUACGGGUCAUUCGCGGUGGCUUCUGGAAGGCUGGGUGGAGGUGGGGUGUGGGCAGCUUUUUCAGAGAUGGGGUAAGUGUCCUCUGCGCUUCCAUGAGGAGGAGCUUGGCUCAGGCUCUGAAAGGCUUCUAUCCUUUCCUCCCUCGUGCUGGACAUGAACCAGUCACAUGAGCAAGUCACAUAAGCAAGUCAGGAAGGGUGUAUUAGUCACUUUUCACACUGCUAUAAAGACUGGGUAAUUUAUAAAGGGAAGAGGUUUAAUUGACUCACAGUUCAGCAUGGCUGGGGAGGCCUCAGGAAAAUUACAAUCAUGGCAGAAGGCGAAGGGGAAGCAAGGCACCUUCUUCAGAAGGCGGCAGGAAUGAGAAGGAAUUCAGGAGGAACUAACAAACACGUAUAAAACCAUCAGAUCUCGUGAGAACUCACUAUCACAAGAACAGCACGGGGGAGCUACCCCCAGGAUUCAAUCACCUCCACCUGGUCUCUCCUUUGACAUGUGGGGAUUAUGAGAAUUAUGGGGAUUAUAAUUCAAGACGAGAUUUGGGUGGGGACACAAGGCCUAACCAUAUCAAGGGUCUAACACCGUGAAACCCCGUCUCUACUAAAAAAAAAUACAAAAAAUUAGCCGGGCAUGGUGGCGGGCACCUGUAGUCCCAGCUACUCAGGACGCUGAGGCAGGAGAAUGGCGUGAACCCGGGAGGUGGAGGUUGCAGUGAGCCGAGAUUGCGCCACUGCACCCCAGCCUGGGUGACAGAGCAAGACUCCGCUUCAAAAAAAAAGGACAAUUAUUUCCUCUCUUCUUGUGACAAAAGCAGAACACGUUGAUUUCAGGAAUAUACAGGUAAGAAAAGGCAAAGGCACCUAAAAUUCCAUCAUCUUAGGGAAAAUCACUAUUACCCCCCCAACUUUCAUCUACACAUGUAUAAUAAUGAAAGUAGUAACUUACUGAGGGCCCAGCACGGGUCAGGAGCUGGGCUGUGUGCACCCCAGCUCCUAUAUAUGCACCGUUCCACCUAACCCACACAACCAGUCUGCUGGUCACUCCACGGGGUCCCAGCAUGGUGUGUGGAUGGAGUGUGGGCUCCAGAGCCAGGCUGCCUGGUUUCGAGACCCACUCUGCCACUCAUGACUGUGAUCUCCAGCAAGCUGAUUAGCAUCCAUGCCUCAGGUCCUCACCUGUCAAAUGGGGGUAAUAACAUCAGAGGUGCCACACGGGUUGUCAGGAGGAUUAAAUGAGUAAAUAGGUGUAAAACACUUACUGCUUGGUACUUGCAAGUGCUCAACUCAGCAGAGUCACUUAUUGUUUCCUUUGUAGAAAUAUGGAAGCAUGUUCAGAGAAGUCGGUGACUUGGUUGAGAUCCCACAAGCACUAACUGAUAAAGCCAGGUUUGAAACUUAAAUCUCUUCUGAGUCCAGAUCUAUUAUGAUAUAAUAUACAAGAGAGACAAGAGAAAAAAAUCAGUGUUCCCCUGCUCCUUAACACUAUUCUUUAAGUUGCAAAUAUCUUCUGCUCACUGUAUAAUACUCCAGCCCUAAAUGUGCCCUUGACCGAGUCUUAGCCAGUGGGUAGAGACCUAGAGGAGUUGGCAAAGGCUCAGCUUUGUUUAGUGCAGUGCCGUCAAGCACAGGAACCCCUGGGCCUCUCACUGACAGGCAGAUUCAUUUCUAACAGGUCCCCAAGUGAGCUGCUGCUGCUGGUCUGGGAACCACACUGCAGAGAGGCUUUUGGGAAUUCUGGCCAGUGAAUCUGCUUUCGCUGGGACCUUCCUGCUGCUGCCUUUUUGUUUUACACAGUUGCCUUCCAUCUUCCCUUGUG
Molecule: long non-coding RNA, 2554 nt
Filed under: Macaca mulatta (Rhesus monkey)
Lineage: Eukaryota; Metazoa; Chordata; Mammalia; Primates; Cercopithecidae
Description: lncRNA (ENSMMUG00000053834.1)
Source: RNAcentral